RNAcentral lists this ribosomal RNA (300 nucleotides) under uncultured Enterococcus sp. RNAcentral describes it as "bacterial SSU rRNA". It matches the Rfam family "Bacterial small subunit ribosomal RNA", at positions 496 to 795 of the family's 1533-position model. Lineage: Bacteria; Bacillati; Bacillota; Bacilli; Lactobacillales; Enterococcaceae. The record is from RNAcentral.
GAAAACGCCUGGCCGGGAUCGUCUGGUAGACGGAGUGGCGAAGCGUUAGCAGGAAGAAUUGGGUUUAAAUGGGCCUUAGGCGGCCUUAUAAGGCAGAGGUGAAAGUUGGUGGCUUAACCAAAAAAUGGCCAUUAAUAAUGUAGGGCUGGAAUACUUAUGAAGUAACUAUAAUAUGUAGUGUAGCGGUGAAAUGCUCAGAUAUUACAUGGAAUACCAAUUGCGAAGGCAGGUUACUAACAAAUGAUUGACGCUGAGGGACGAAAGCGUGGGUAGCGAACAGGAUUAGAUACCCCAGUAGUC